This is a long non-coding RNA of Balaenoptera ricei (Rice's whale), 1001 nucleotides long. RefSeq lists it as uncharacterized. The transcript has 3 exons. Lineage: Eukaryota; Metazoa; Chordata; Mammalia; Artiodactyla; Balaenopteridae. The record is from RefSeq and is a predicted model, not a curated record.
GCCCUGGUCCAGGAAGAUCCCACAUGCCGCGGAGCAACUAAGCCCGUGCACCACAACUACUGAGCCUGCGCUCUAGAGCCCACGGGCCGCGACUACUGAAGCCCACAUGCCACAACUACUGAAGCCCGUGCUCCUAGAGCCUGUGCUCUGCAGCAAGAGAAGCCACCACAACGAGAAGCCCACGCACCACAAUAAAGAGUAGCUCCCACUCGCUGCAACUAGAGAAAGCCUGCGCACAGCAAGAAGACCCAACGCAGCCAAAAAUAAAUAAUAACCAGGAGGCCAACUCAACACUGCUCAGUUCCAGAGACUCAGGGACAAAACCCAGGGUCUGAGACUGGAGGACUAAGCAUCAAGUUUAUUAACUAGAAUUGGAAGAACCGAGGAGUUCUUGGAACAAGAACUAUCCCCCUCCCCCACCAACACGGAAGACAGAAGAGUGGGGGAGGGGAGACGUGCCCCAGGAAUGACAGUCCAGUCUCUCAAGUUUCACCCAGGUGGGGGUUGAGGGGCAGACCUGCAGCCACGGUGGCCUCGCUUUCGGUCGCCCGGGCUGCUCCGGACCAUCCUCUGAGCUGGCCAGGGUCUUGGAUACGAUGCUUCUGAAGGCCGUGCAGAGAACACACUCCUCUUCCCCUGCACCGGGCCCCAGGGAGCGCGGCGGCCUGACCUUCCUGCCUCGGUCAUCCAUGGGGUUCACAUGGGCUCACUUUAUUAUGACGCCUCAUGCUGGGCAGCUUGCAACAAAGAUGUUUCAAAAUAAAGUUCCAGAUUCUCCCAGCCACCCCUUGCUUUUUCUGGCUCUGGCCAGAGAGAGUGGAUGAGGACACACUCUCAGGCUGCCCAGCGUGGGAGGACCCUCCAGUGUUGGACACACCCAGGGGGCAGCUGCUUCCCUCUGGGGCUCCAAUCCUGCUGCUGCUGCUGGAGGUGGAUGUCCCAGUGCCACACUGGGGGGCUGGGCUGGGGGUGGCAGUCCUCGACUCCAGGCUGGGUGGGGG